This is a long non-coding RNA of Rosa chinensis, 234 nucleotides long. RefSeq lists it as uncharacterized. Lineage: Eukaryota; Viridiplantae; Streptophyta; Magnoliopsida; Rosales; Rosaceae. The record is from RefSeq and is a predicted model, not a curated record. The transcript has 3 exons.
CGCAAUCCCAACACGACACCGUUUCACCGACAAUUCAUGGACUUCCAUCGCCAUCCCCAAACCUCAUCUCAGAGCUCCACGAAUCAUUUGCAUGGCGGCGCCGUAUUUGAUUACGAAGCUGGAAUCUGCAGAGAAGACACAGAAGGAAUUAUCGGUCAAGCUGGCUGAUCCAGAUGUCGUGUCGAAUCCCAGUGAGUACCAGAGGUUGGCACAAUCCGUGGCGGUCUCGAUGAG